RNAcentral lists this ribosomal RNA (515 nucleotides) under uncultured bacterium. Its description in RNAcentral is "bacterial SSU rRNA". It matches the Rfam family "Bacterial small subunit ribosomal RNA", at positions 391 to 916 of the family's 1533-position model. The record is from RNAcentral.
GCGACGCCGCGUGGGGGAUGAAGGCCUUCGGGUUGUAAACCCCUUUCAGCAGGGAAGAAGCGAAAGUGACGGUACCUGCAGAAGAAGCGCCGGCUAACUACGUGCCAGCAGCCGCGGUAAUACGUAGGGCGCAAGCGUUGUCCGGAAUUAUUGGGCGUAAAGAGCUCGUAGGCGGUUUGUCGCGUCUGCUGUGAAAACCCGAGGCUCAACCUCGGGCUUGCAGUGGGUACGGGCAGACUAGAGUGCGGUAGGGGAGACUGGAAUUCCUGGUGUAGCGGUGGAAUGCGCAGAUAUCAGGAGGAACACCGAUGGCGAAGGCAGGUCUCUGGGCCGCAACUGACGCUGAGGAGCGAAAGCAUGGGGAGCGAACAGGAUUAGAUACCCUGGUAGUCCAUGCCGUAAACGUUGGGCACUAGGUGUGGGGCUCAUUCCACGAGUUCCGUGCCGCAGCUAACGCAUUAAGUGCCCCGCCUGGGGAGUACGGCCGCAAGGCUAAAACUCAAAGGAAUUGACGG